This 222-nucleotide long non-coding RNA is filed under the name Nicotiana benthamiana. RNAcentral describes it as "long non-coding RNA (NBEN_LNC000679)". The record is from RNAcentral. Lineage: Eukaryota; Viridiplantae; Streptophyta; Magnoliopsida; Solanales; Solanaceae.
UCUUAUAUUAUUUCAUAACACGUUAUCAGCACGAGUCUCUAACCAAUAUUUUGGAACUUGUCAUCCACAAUUGCAGUUGGUUUGAUAACGGACAGCUUAUGCUAGAUAUAGUCUAUAUGGGAAUCACGUACAAUGACUUUGCUGCCAAUGCUAUUAUGUUGCGAAUAUUUCAUGCCACACAAUAUUACAAAUCCUUAAAGGUAAGUAAUUUACUCUAUUUAU